UUAGAGUUUGAUCCUGGCUCAGGACGAACGCUUGCGGCGUGCCUAAGAAAUGCAAGUCGAACGGGUAUCACCUUCGGGUGGUGCCAGUGGCGAACGGUCGCGUAACACGUAAGCAACCUGCCCCGAAGUGGGGGAUAACAGCUCGAAAGGGCUGCUAAUACCGCAUGUGGCCAGCGUAUCGCAUGAUGCGCUGUCUAAAGCCUUGUGCGCUUCGGGAUGGGCUUGCGGCCUAUCAGUUAGUUGGUGGGGUAACGGCCUACCAAGGCGUUGACGGGUAGCUGGUCUGAGAGGAUGGUCAGCCGGAUUGGGACUGAGACACGGCCCAGACUCCUACGGGGGGCAGCAAUUAGGAAUCUUGCGCAAUGGGGGCAACCCUGACGCAGCGACGCCGCGUGCGGGAUGACGGCCUUCGGGCUGUAAACCGCUUUUGAAGGGGAAGAAGAAUGUGACGGUACCCUUCGAAUAAGCCCCGGCUAACUACGUGCCAGCAGCCGCGGUAAUACGUAGGGGGCGAGCGUUGUCCGAAGUUACUGGGCGUAAAGCGCGCGUAGGCGGUUUUCUAAGUCCGGCGUGAAAGGUUCAGGGCUCAACCCGAACAGUGCGCUGGAGACUGGAGAAGCUUGAGGAACGGGAGAGGGAAGCGGAAUUCCGGGUGUUAGCGGUUGAAAAUGCGUAAUUUCCGGAGGGACACCGAUGGCGAAGGCAAGCUUCCUUGGCCCGUUAUCUGACGCUGAGGUUGCGAAAGCGUGGGGAGCGAACGGAUUAAAUACCCCGGUUGUCCACCCCUUAACGAUGAGUUGCUAGGUGUUCGAGGUAUCGACCCCUCGGGUCCCGCAACCAAACCCAAGUAANCACUCCGCCUGGGGAGUACGCCGCAAGGUUGAAACUCAAAGGAAUUGACGGGGGCCCGCACAAGCGGUGGAGCAUGUGGUUUAAUUCGUCACUAACCGAAGAACCUUACCCAGGCUUGACAUCGCGUGAAAGGCCCUGAAAGGGGUCCCUCCCCGCAAGGGGACACAAAGACAGGUGUUGCAUGGCUGUCGUCAGCUCGUGUCGUGAGAUGUUGGGUUAAGUCCCGCAACGAGCGCAACCCUCACCCCAUGUUGCCAGCAGGCCGAAAGGUGCUGGGCACUCUUGGGGAACUGCCCGUGCAAGCGGGAGGAAGGUGGGGAUGACGUCAAGUCGGCAUGGCCCUUACGCCUGGGGCUACACACAUGCUACAAUGGACGCACAAACAAACGGUUUUCCGAGGCCGCGAGGCGGAGGCAAUCCGACAAAGGCGUCCUCAGUUGGGAUUGCAGGCUGCAACUCGCCUGCAUGAACGCGGAAUCGCUAGUAACCGCCGGUCAGCUAAACGGCGGUGAAUACGUUCCCGGGCCUUGUACACACCGCCCGUCAAGUCACCUGAAUUGUCUGCACCCGAAGUCGCUGGCCAUAACCCGCUUGUCGGGAGGGAGGCGCCGAACGGUGUGGGGAGUAAGGGGGACUAAGUCGUAACAAGGUAGCCGUAUCGGAAGGUGCGGC
This 1524-nucleotide ribosomal RNA is filed under the name uncultured bacterium. RNAcentral's name for it is "16S ribosomal RNA". It matches the Rfam family "Bacterial small subunit ribosomal RNA". The record is from RNAcentral.